This 65-nucleotide transfer RNA is filed under the name Dipodomys ordii (Ord's kangaroo rat). It matches the Rfam family "tRNA". From Rfam's summary of the family: Transfer RNA (tRNA) molecules are approximately 80 nucleotides in length. Their secondary structure includes four short double-helical elements and three loops (D, anti-codon, and T loops). Further hydrogen bonds mediate the characteristic L-shaped molecular structure. tRNAs have two regions of fundamental functional importance: the anti-codon, which is responsible for specific mRNA codon recognition, and the 3' end, to which the tRNAs corresponding amino acid is attached (by aminoacyl-tRNA synthetases). tRNAs cope with the degeneracy of the genetic code in two manners: having more than one tRNA (with a specific anti-codon) for a particular amino acid; and 'wobble' base-pairing, i.e. permitting non-standard base-pairing at the 3rd anti-codon position. Lineage: Eukaryota; Metazoa; Chordata; Mammalia; Rodentia; Heteromyidae. The record is from Rfam by way of RNAcentral.
GGUGGCUCAGUGGUAGACCGCUUGCCUUGCAUGCAUGAGACCCUGGGUUCGAUUCCCCAGCACCA